RNAcentral lists this unclassified non-coding RNA (192 nucleotides) under fungal sp. RNAcentral's name for it is "partial contains small subunit ribosomal RNA and internal transcribed spacer 1". The stretch from base 1 to 46 matches the Rfam family "Eukaryotic small subunit ribosomal RNA", at positions 1786 to 1831 of the family's 1831-position model. The record is from RNAcentral. Lineage: Eukaryota; Fungi.
AAGUCGUAACAAGGUUUCCGUAGGUGAACCUGCGGAAGGAUCAUUAGGAAGACGGGCGCGCCCUCUGCGGAGGCCGGCCGCCCCUUCUCAUCCACCCUGUGCAUCGUGACCCUUUUUCGCGCUGUGCGAACCCGCGAGUCCCGAAGCAUAUACGAAAAGGCACAAAAUGGAGCAACGGAUCUCUUGGCUCUC